AUACGGAGGGUGCGAGCGUUACUAGGAGUCACUGGGCGUAAAGCGUCCGUAGGUGGUCGGGUAAGUCGGGUGUGAAAGCCCCGGGCUCAACCUGGGAAGUGCACCCGAUACUGCUCGACUCGAGUGCGGGAGAGGAUGGCAGAAUUCCCGGUGUAGCGGUGAAAUGCGUAGAGAUCGGGAGGAACACCAGUGGCGAAGGCGGCCAUCUGGCCCGCAACUGACGCUGAGGGACGAAAGCGUGGGGAGCAAACAGGAUUAGAAACCCUUGUAGUCC
RNAcentral lists this ribosomal RNA (274 nucleotides) under uncultured bacterium. RNAcentral describes it as "partial 16S ribosomal RNA". It matches the Rfam family "Bacterial small subunit ribosomal RNA", at positions 523 to 796 of the family's 1533-position model. The record is from RNAcentral.